AGGUCUCAUUGCCAGCAGUUUCACGGAAACCCACUAUCUGCAAGACGGUACUGAUGUCUCCCUCGCUCGAAAUUACACGGGUCACUGUUACUACCAUGGACAUGUACGGGGAUAUUCUGAUUCAGCAGUCAGUCUCAGCACGUGUUCUGGUCUCAGGUAAGUGGCCAUGACCAUGGCGGCUCUAGUCUUCAGCCAUCUACUGCAGGCAACCUCUGUCUUUUCCUGCUCGUGCUAAAGCACUGAGAGUGAGUGAUGGGGGCUCCCAGCUCAGCUACACCUCCACCUAGGCAAGAGAACACGGAGGCCCUCUCUCCACUGCUUACAAGAGCAUGGCCACCCAGGAUCUUAGCCUCAUGUUCAUGCCCCCUCUUA
This 372-nucleotide non-coding RNA is filed under the name Pan troglodytes (chimpanzee). Lineage: Eukaryota; Metazoa; Chordata; Mammalia; Primates; Hominidae. RNAcentral also lists the same sequence under 1 other name. The record is from RNAcentral.